CAUGCAAGUCGAACGAAGUAGCAAUACUUAGUGGCAGACGGGUGAGUAACAUGUAGGUAUCUGCCCUUUGGCCUGGAAUAACACGAGGAAACUUGUGCUAAUACCGGAUAAGUCUUUACGGAGAAAGCUUUAUGCACCAUUGGAUGAGCCUGCACUUGAUUAGUUUGUUGGUGGGGUAAUGGCCUACCAAGACUGUGAUCAAUAGCUGAUUUGAGAGGAUGAUCAGCCACAUUGGGACUGAGACACGGCCCAAACUCCUACGGGAGGCAGCAGUGGGGAAUCUUGCACAAUGGAGGAAACUCUGAUGCAGCGAUGCCGCGUGAGUGAAGAAGGCCCUUGGGUUGUAAAGCUCUUUCGUCGGGGAAGAAAAUGACUGUACCCGAAUAAGAAGGUCCGGCU
Molecule: ribosomal RNA, 399 nt
Filed under: uncultured bacterium
Lineage: Bacteria
Description: bacterial SSU rRNA
Rfam family: Bacterial small subunit ribosomal RNA
Source: RNAcentral